AUUGAACGCUGGCGGCAGGCCUAACACAUGCAAGUCGAGCGGAUGAGGGGAGCUUGCUCCUGGAUUCAGUGGCGGACGGGUGAGUAAUGCCUAGGAAUCUGCCUGGUAGUGGGGGAUAACGUCCGGAAACGGGCGCUAAUACCGCAUACGUCCUGAGGGAGAAAGUGGGGGAUCUUCGGACCUCACGCUAUCAGAUGAGCCUAGGUCGGAUUAGCUAGUUGGUGGGGUAAAGGCCUACCAAGGCGACGAUCCGUAACUGGUCUGAGAGGAUGAUCAGUCACACUGGAACUGAGACACGGUCCAGACUCCUACGGGAGGCAGCAGCGGGGAAUAUUGGACAAUGGGCGGAAGCCUGAUCCAGCCAUGCCGCGUGUGUGAAGAAGGUCUUCGGAUUGUAAAGCACUUUAAGUUGGGAGGAAGGGCAGUAAGUUAAUACCUUGCUGUUUUGACGUUACCAACAGAAUAAGCACCGGCUAACUUCGUG
This 484-nucleotide ribosomal RNA is filed under the name uncultured bacterium. Its description in RNAcentral is "partial 16S ribosomal RNA". It matches the Rfam family "Bacterial small subunit ribosomal RNA", at positions 30 to 507 of the family's 1533-position model. The record is from RNAcentral.